CGCGCUACUGCCGCCAGACAAAUUCUUUUUCAAAUGCCGAACUCAGAAGUGAAACGCCGUAGCGCCGAUGGUAGUGUGGGGUCUCCCCAUGCGAGAGUAGGGAACUGCCAGGCA
This 114-nucleotide ribosomal RNA is filed under the name Salmonella enterica subsp. enterica serovar Typhi. Lineage: Bacteria; Pseudomonadati; Pseudomonadota; Gammaproteobacteria; Enterobacterales; Enterobacteriaceae. The record is from RNAcentral.